This 30-nucleotide non-coding RNA is filed under the name Mus musculus (house mouse). Lineage: Eukaryota; Metazoa; Chordata; Mammalia; Rodentia; Muridae. The record is from RNAcentral.
UGUUACACAAAGUAAACUGACUUAAGAGGC